Molecule: ribosomal RNA, 490 nt
Filed under: uncultured bacterium
Lineage: Bacteria
Description: partial 16S ribosomal RNA
Rfam family: Bacterial small subunit ribosomal RNA
Source: RNAcentral
AUUGAACGCUGGCGGCAGGCCUAACACAUGCAAGUCGAACGGUAACUGGGAUCAGCUUGCUGAUUCGCUGACGAGUGGCGGACGGGUGAGUAAUGUCUGGGAAACUGCCUGAUGGAGGGGGAUAACUACUGGAAACGGUAGCUAAUACCGCAUAACGUCGCAAGACCAAAGAGGGGGACCUUCGGGCCUCUUGCCAUCGGAUGUGCCCAGAUGGGAUUAGCUAGUAGGUGGGGUAACGGCUCACCUAGGCGACGAUCCCUAGCUGGUCUGAGAGGAUGACCAGCCACACUGGAACUGAGACACGGUCCAGACUCCUACGGGAGGCAGCAGUGGGGAAUAUUGCACAAUGGGCGCAAGCCUGAUGCAGCCAUGCCGCGUGUAUGAAGAAGGCCUUCGGGUUGUAAAGUACUUUCAGCGGGGAGGAAGGGAGUAAAGUUAAUACCUUUGCUCAUUGACGUUACCCGCAGAAGAAGCACCGGCUAACUCCGUG